GAUGAACGCUGGCGGCGUGCCUAAUACAUGCAAGUCGAGCGAACAGACGAGGAGCUUGCUCCUCUGACGUUAGCGGCGGACGGGUGAGUAACACGUGGAUAACCUACCUAUAAGACUGGGAUAACUUCGGGAAACCGGAGCUAAUACCUGAUAAUAUAUUGAACCGCAUGGUUCAAUAGUGAAAGACGGUUUUGCUGUCACUUAUAGAUGGAUCCGCGCCGCAUUAGCUAGUUGGUAAGGUAACGGCUUACCAAGGCGACGAUGCGUAGCCGACCUGAGAGGGUGAUCGGCCACACUGGAACUGAGACACGGUCCAGACUCCUACGGGAGGCAGCAGUAGGGAAUCUUACGCAAUGGGCGAAAGCCUGACGGAGCAACGCCGCGUGAGUGAUGAAGGUCUUCGGAUCGUAAAACUCUGUUAUUAGGGAAGAACAAAUGUGUAAGUAACUAUGCACGUCUUGACGGUACCUAAUCAGAAAGCCACGGCUAACUACGUG
Molecule: ribosomal RNA, 497 nt
Filed under: uncultured bacterium
Lineage: Bacteria
Description: partial 16S ribosomal RNA
Rfam family: Bacterial small subunit ribosomal RNA
Source: RNAcentral